CGCAUCUGUGCAUGCAGCAUAUCAAUAAGCGGAGGAAAAGAAACUAACAAGGAUUCCCCUAGUAACGGCGAGUGAAGCGGGAAGAGCUCAAAUUUGAAAUCUUAAAGGGUUUCCCUUUACGAAUUGUAGUUUAAAGAAGUGUUUUCUGUUGAGGUUUUGGUAAAAGUUCUUUGGAAUAGGACAUCAUAGGGGGUGAGAAUCCCGUAUUUGACCUUUACUUUCAACUUUGUGAUACACUUUCAAAGAGUCGGAUUGUUUGGGAAUGCAGUCCAAAAUGGGUGGUAAAUUUCAUCUAAAGCUAAAUAUUGGCGAGAGACCGAUAGCGAACAAGUACCGUGAGGGAAAGAUGAAAAGAACUUUGAAAAGAGAGUUAAACAGUACGUGAAAUUGUCAAAAGGGAAGCGUUUGACACCAGUGUUGUUUUUCCUGAAAAUCAAUUAAAGAACUGUUUAUGCUAAGCUGUUUAGACUUUAUCAGCUAUCUGUUUAGUUUUGAGCUUUUCUUUAAUGCACUUUUCAGUUAACAAGUCACCAUCAAUUUCUUUUGCUGUAAAAAAGCUUGAGGAAGGUGGCUUGAGAUUCGUCUUAAGUGUUUAUAGCCUCUUGCCUACUGCAGUCGGGAGAGAUUGAGGUCUGCAGCGUAGAUCCUUCGGGGCUAAAUGCAUUUGUGCUAAGUUAUAGCAUUUUAUAGACAACUUGUUGACUAUGAUUUGUCUUGUAGCUUACUCGCUUAUGUUAUUUUACCUACGCUUAGGAUGUUGAAUCUGUGCGAGACUAC
RNAcentral lists this ribosomal RNA (777 nucleotides) under uncultured Neocallimastigales. Its description in RNAcentral is "partial large subunit ribosomal RNA". It matches the Rfam family "Eukaryotic large subunit ribosomal RNA", at positions 26 to 644 of the family's 3401-position model. Lineage: Eukaryota; Fungi; Neocallimastigomycota; Neocallimastigomycetes; Neocallimastigales. The record is from RNAcentral.